This 497-nucleotide ribosomal RNA is filed under the name uncultured bacterium. RNAcentral describes it as "partial 16S ribosomal RNA". It matches the Rfam family "Bacterial small subunit ribosomal RNA", at positions 28 to 522 of the family's 1533-position model. The record is from RNAcentral.
GAUGAACGCUAGCUACAGGCUUAACACAUGCAAGUCGAGGGGUAGCAGGGUAGCAAUACCGCUGACGACCGGCGCACGGGUGAGUAACACGUAUCCAACCUUCCCAUAACUCGGGGAUAGCCUUUCGAAAGAAAGAUUAAUACCCGAUAGUACUUAACAAAGGCAUCUUUGAUAAGUUAAAGAUUUAUUGGUUAUGGAUGGGGAUGCGUUCCAUUAGAUAGUUGGUGAGGUAACGGCUCACCAAGUCUUCGAUGGAUAGGGGUUCUGAGAGGAAGGUCCCCCACAUUGGUACUGAGACACGGACCAAACUCCUACGGGAGGCAGCAGUGAGGAAUAUUGGUCAAUGGGCGAGAGCCUGAACCAGCCAAGUAGCGUGAAGGAUGAAGGUCCUAUGGAUUGUAAACUUCUUUUAUAGUAGAAUAAAGUGAUCCACGUGUGGAUUUUUGUAUGUAUACUAUGAAUAAGGAUCGGCUAACCCCGUGCCAGCCGCCGCUGAA